GCGAAGGUGGCGGAAUUGGUAGACGCGCUAGCUUCAGGUGUUAGUGUCCUUA
RNAcentral lists this transfer RNA (52 nucleotides) under Enterobacter hormaechei. RNAcentral's name for it is "tRNA_Leu_CAG". Lineage: Bacteria; Pseudomonadati; Pseudomonadota; Gammaproteobacteria; Enterobacterales; Enterobacteriaceae. The record is from RNAcentral.